RNAcentral lists this ribosomal RNA (518 nucleotides) under uncultured delta proteobacterium. RNAcentral's name for it is "bacterial SSU rRNA". It matches the Rfam family "Bacterial small subunit ribosomal RNA", at positions 30 to 523 of the family's 1533-position model. The record is from RNAcentral. Lineage: Bacteria; Deltaproteobacteria.
UAAACGCUGGCGGCGUGCCUAACACAUGCAAGUCGAACGAGAAAGCCCGGCUUCGGCUGGGCGAGUAAAGUGGCGCACGGGUGAGUAACGCGUAGGUAACCUGCCCCUGUGUUCGGGAUAACAGUGCGAAAGCGCUGCUAAUACCGGAUGUGGCAGAGAAGCGGUGGCUUCUUUGUCAAAGUCGGCCUCUCAAAGAAGCUGACGCGCGGGGAUGGGCCUGCGUCCUAUCAGCUAGUUGGUAGGGUAAUGGCCUACCAAGGCUUCGACGGGUAGCUGGUCUGAGAGGAUGAUCAGCCACACUGGCACUGAAACACGGGCCAGACUCCUACGGGAGGCAGCAGUGAGGAAUUUUGCGCAAUGGCCGCAAGGCUGACGCAGCAACGCCGCGUGGGUGAAGAAGGCCUUCGGGUCGUAAAGCCCUGUCAGGUGGGAAGAAUGACCAAGGGGGAAACACCUCUUUGGUGUGACGGUACCACCAGAGGAAGCACCGGCUAACUCCGUGCCAGCAGCCGCGGUAA